RNAcentral lists this ribosomal RNA (153 nucleotides) under uncultured Polaromonas sp. RNAcentral describes it as "partial 16S ribosomal RNA". It matches the Rfam family "Bacterial small subunit ribosomal RNA", at positions 1229 to 1382 of the family's 1533-position model. Lineage: Bacteria; Pseudomonadati; Pseudomonadota; Betaproteobacteria; Burkholderiales; Comamonadaceae. The record is from RNAcentral.
UGGGAUGGUACAAAGGGUCGCCAACCCGCGAGGGGGAGCCAAUCCCAUAAAGCCAUUCGUAGUCCGGAUCGCAGUCUGCAACUCGACUGCGUGAAGUCGGAAUCGCUAGUAAUCGUGGAUCAGAAUGUCACGGUGAAUACGUUCCCGGGUCUU